CUCUUGUCUCAUGCAGGAAGGGAGAACUUAGGUAGCCACAUGAGUUGUCUUCAACCCUCUGCUUGCCGACUUUGCCAGUGAUAUUCGAUUGCUUUGUGACGUUUUCUAUUAGUAAAGUUUAUCAGGAGGUACCUGCCUAAGGCACAAGAUCUACUGGUGCAAUCGUGGAACCAAUGUUAUGAGAGUAACCAACCAUUUUCUGAUUGGAUUUAAAGUCCUCUUCAUGAGAUGGAACCCACACCUGACACUGACACAACAGGAAUGAUGCACGUGUGAAUUCACAAUGACUGUGGCAACAUGGACAAGACCCGGACAAGUUCAAGCCAGAUGGGGUCCUAUCACUGAGGGAGGGAGUUGGACACAUAGCCCCACUGCUAAGAAGCUGUCUACAAUUGAUACCUUCUGGAAAUGGGAAAAUCAGUUUCAUCCAAUGGAGCGUCAUUCAGUACA
Non-coding RNA from Peromyscus maniculatus bairdii (prairie deer mouse), 450 nucleotides. The record is from RefSeq and is a predicted model, not a curated record. Lineage: Eukaryota; Metazoa; Chordata; Mammalia; Rodentia; Cricetidae.